Molecule: non-coding RNA, 733 nt
Organism: Cebus imitator (Panamanian white-faced capuchin)
Lineage: Eukaryota; Metazoa; Chordata; Mammalia; Primates; Cebidae
Source: the annotation of a RefSeq genome assembly
CAUGGGAGCCCAAAGCGAAGACCUAUGCAAUAAUAUUGUUUAAAAGGAGCUUAUAAAUAUUAAAAGUAGUCAUCCACGUGUGUUGCAGUAUAAAUCCUGUGUUCCCAAGGAUAUGCAGAUUGAGAAAGGAAGUGAUGUCACAGUGGGAACUUCCAUGUAAGGACAGGGACGUCACUCCUUCUCUGCUCCUGCUCACAGUGACCCUGAUCUGGUAAAGCCCCCAUCCUGCCCUGACUCUGCCAUGGGCACCAGGCUCCUCUGUUGGGCAGCCCUCUGCCUCCUGAGAGCAGAUCACACAGGUGCUGGAGUCUCCCAGUCCCCCAGUAACAAGGUCACAGAGAAGGGAAAGGAUGUAGUUCUCAGGUGUGACCCAAUUUCAGGUCAUAAUGCCCUUUAUUGGUACCGACAGAGCCUGGGGAAGGGCCUGGAGUUUCUAAUUUACUUCCAAGGCAAGGAUGCACCAGACAAAUCAGGGCUGCCCAGUGAUCGGUUCUUUGCAGAGAGAGAUGGGGGAUCCUUCUCCACUCUGCAGAUCCGGCGCACAGAGCAGAAGGACUCGGCUGUGUAUCUCUGUGCCAGCAGCUUAGCCACAGUGUGGCAGAGUCACCUCCUUCCUGCUCACAAACCUCAUCCUUCUCUCCCCUUGCAGCUCCUAGAGACCCUUAACAGAGGCCUCCCUUUGUUCCUCCCUCCUCAAAGGAAACAAGUAGAUUUGGACCUCGGCUGUCCUUAG